CCUACGGGAGGCAGCAGUGAGGAAUAUUGGUCAAUGGACGAGAGUCUGAACCAGCCAAGUAGCGUGAAGGAUGACUGCCCUAUGGGUUGUAAACUUCUUUUAUAUGGGAAUAAAAUGUUCCACGUGUGGGAUUUUGUAUGUACCAUAUGAAUAAGGAUCGGCUAACUCCGUGCCAGCAGCCGCGGUAAUACGGAGGAUCCGAGCGUUAGCCGGAUUUAUUGGGUUUAAAGGGAGCGUAGGUGGAUUGUUAAGUCAGUUGUGAAAGUUUGCGGCUCAACCGUAAAAUUGCAGUUGAAACUGGCAGUCUUGAGUACAGUAGAGGUGGGCGGAAGUCGUGGUGUAGCGGUGAAAUGCUUAGAUAUCACGAAGAACUCCGAUUGCGAAGGCAGUUCACUGGACUGCAACUGACACUGAGGCUCGAAAGUGUGGGUAUCAAACAGGAUUAGAUACCCCAGUAGUC
This 460-nucleotide ribosomal RNA is filed under the name uncultured bacterium. RNAcentral's name for it is "partial 16S ribosomal RNA". It matches the Rfam family "Bacterial small subunit ribosomal RNA", at positions 338 to 795 of the family's 1533-position model. The record is from RNAcentral.